AGGAGCUGUAUGAGGUGAAAAUCUCACGUACGGUUCUGUAAUAGCGAUGGGCACAUGUGUAUCGAAGGAAUAGUUUCUUCAAAGCGAAUUCUCCCUAGGUACAUCUAGUUAAUUUAAU
Molecule: non-coding RNA, 118 nt
Organism: Capsicum annuum
Lineage: Eukaryota; Viridiplantae; Streptophyta; Magnoliopsida; Solanales; Solanaceae
Source: Rfam